RNAcentral lists this ribosomal RNA (390 nucleotides) under Sporothrix schenckii. RNAcentral describes it as "partial large subunit ribosomal RNA". It matches the Rfam family "Eukaryotic large subunit ribosomal RNA", at positions 255 to 665 of the family's 3401-position model. Lineage: Eukaryota; Fungi; Ascomycota; Sordariomycetes; Ophiostomatales; Ophiostomataceae. The record is from RNAcentral.
CUUCGACGAGUCGAGUAGUUUGGGAAUGCUGCUCAAAAUGGGAGGUAAAUUUCUUCUAAAGCUAAAUACCGGCCAGAGACCGAUAGCGCACAAGUAGAGUGAUCGAAAGAUGAAAAGCACUUUGAAAAGAGGGUUAAAAAGUACGUGAAAUUGUUGAAAGGGAAGCGCCUGUGACCAGACUUGCGCCCCGCGGACCACCCGGCGUUCUCGCCGGUGCACUCUGCGGUGCGCAGGCCAGCAUCGGUUCUCCCAGGGGGACAAAGGCCGCGGGAACGUAGCUCCUUCGGGAGUGUUAUAGCCCGCGGCGGCAUGCCCCUGGGGGGACCGAGGACCGCGCUUCGGCAAGGAUGCUGGCGUAAUGGUCACCAGCGACCCGUCUUGAACCACGGA